RNAcentral lists this ribosomal RNA (251 nucleotides) under uncultured bacterium. RNAcentral's name for it is "partial 16S ribosomal RNA". It matches the Rfam family "Bacterial small subunit ribosomal RNA", at positions 524 to 776 of the family's 1533-position model. The record is from RNAcentral.
UACGUAGGGUGCGAGCGUUAAUCGGAAUUACUGGGCGUAAAGCGUGCGCAGGCGGUUCGUUAAGUCAGAUGUGAAAGCCCCGGGCUCAACCUGGGAACUGCAUUUGAAACUGGCGGGCUUGAGUAUGGCAGAGGGGGUGGAAUUCCGCGUGUAGCAGUGAAAUGCGUAGAGAUGCGGAGGAACACCGAUGGCGAAGGCGGCUUUCUGGUCUGUAACUGACGCUGAGGCGCGAAAGCGUGGGAGCAAACAGG